GAUGAACGCUGGCGGCGUGCCUAAUACAUGCAAGUCGAGCGAACGGACGAGAAGCUUGCUUCUCUGAUGUUAGCGGCGGACGGGUGAGUAACACGUGGAUAACCUACCUAUAAGACUGGGAUAACUUCGGGAAACCGGAGCUAAUACCGGAUAAUAUUUUGAACCGCAUGGUUCAAAAGUGAAAGACGGUCUUGCUGUCACUUAUAGAUGGAUCCGCGCUGCAUUAGCUAGUUGGUAAGGUAACGGCUUACCAAGGCAACGAUGCAUAGCCGACCUGAGAGGGUGAUCGGCCACACUGGAACUGAGACACGGUCCAGACUCCUACGGGAGGCAGCAGUAGGGAAUCUUCCGCAAUGGGCGAAAGCCUGACGGAGCAACGCCGCGUGAGUGAUGAAGGUCUUCGGAUCGUAAAACUCUGUUAUUAGGGAAGAACAUAUGUGUAAGUAACUGUGCACAUCUUGACGGUACCUAAUCAGAAAGCCACGGCUAACUACGUGCCAGCAGCCGCGGUAAUACGUAGGUGGCAAGCGUUAUCCGGAAUUAUUGGGCGUAAAGCGCGCGUAGGCGGUUUUUUAAGUCUGAUGUGAAAGCCCACGGCUCAACCGUGGAGGGUCAUUGGAAACUGGAAAACUUGAGUGCAGAAGAGGAAAGUGGAAUUCCAUGUGUAGCGGUGAAAUGCGCAGAGAUAUGGAGGAACACCAGUGGCGAAGGCGACUUUCUGGUCUGUAACUGACGCUGAUGUGCGAAAGCGUGGGGAUCAAACAGGAUUAGAUACCCUGGUAGUCCACGCCGUAAACGAUGAGUGCUAAGUGUUAGGGGGUUUCCGCCCCUUAGUGCUGCAGCUAACGCAUUAAGCACUCCGCCUGGGGAGUACGACCGCAAGGUUGAAACUCAAAAGAAUUGACGGGGACCCGCACAAGCGGUGGAGCAUGUGGUUUAAUUCGAAGCAACGCGAAGAACCUUACCAAAUCUUGACAUCCUUUGACAACUCUAGAGAUAGAGCCUUCCCCUUCGGGGGACAAAGUGACAGGUGGUGCAUGGUUGUCGUCAGCUCGUGUCGUGAGAUGUUGGGUUAAGUCCCGCAACGAGCGCAACCCUUAAGCUUAGUUGCCAUCAUUAAGUUGGGCACUCUAAGUUGACUGCCGGUGACAAACCGGAGGAAGGUGGGGAUGACGUCAAAUCAUCAUGCCCCUUAUGAUUUGGGCUACACACGUGCUACAAUGGACAAUACAAAGGGCAGCGAAACCGCGAGGUCAAGCAAAUCCCAUAAAGUUGUUCUCAGUUCGGAUUGUAGUCUGCAACUCGACUACAUGAAGCUGGAAUCGCUAGUAAUCGUAGAUCAGCAUGCUACGGUGAAUACGUUCCCGGGUCU
RNAcentral lists this ribosomal RNA (1372 nucleotides) under uncultured bacterium. Its description in RNAcentral is "bacterial SSU rRNA". It matches the Rfam family "Bacterial small subunit ribosomal RNA", at positions 28 to 1381 of the family's 1533-position model. The record is from RNAcentral.